RNAcentral lists this ribosomal RNA (496 nucleotides) under uncultured bacterium. RNAcentral's name for it is "partial 16S ribosomal RNA". It matches the Rfam family "Bacterial small subunit ribosomal RNA", at positions 28 to 507 of the family's 1533-position model. The record is from RNAcentral.
GAUGAACGCUGGCGGCGUGCCUAAUACAUGCAAGUCGAGCGAACAGACGAGGAGCUUGCUCCUCUGACGUUAGCGGCGGACGGGUGAGUAACACGUGGAUAACCUACCUAUAAGACUGGGAUAACUUCGGGAAACCGGAGCUAAUACCGGAUAAUAUAUUGAACCGCAUGGUUCAAUAGUGAAAGACGGUUUUGCUGUCACUUAUAGAUGGAUCCGCGCCGCAUUAGCUAGUUGGUAAGGUAACGGCUUACCAAGGCGACGAUGCGUAGCCGACCUGGAGGGUGAUCGGCCACACUGGAACUGAGACACGGUCCAGACUCCUACGGGAGGCAGCAGUAGGGAAUCUUCCGCAAUGGGCGAAAGCCUGACGGAGCAACGCCGCGUGAGUGAUGAAGGUCUUCGGAUCGUAAAACUCUGUUAUUAGGGAAGAACAAAUGUGUAAGUAACUAUGCACGUCUUGACGGUACCUAAUCAGAAAGCCACGGCUAACUACGUG